GAACUGCCGACGAGUCUCAAACAGGACAAAACAGCUGUCCAGUGC
This 45-nucleotide non-coding RNA is filed under the name Echinostoma caproni. Lineage: Eukaryota; Metazoa; Platyhelminthes; Trematoda; Plagiorchiida; Echinostomatidae. The record is from RNAcentral.